Molecule: long non-coding RNA, 599 nt
Filed under: Panicum hallii
Lineage: Eukaryota; Viridiplantae; Streptophyta; Magnoliopsida; Poales; Poaceae
Description: long non-coding RNA (PHAL_LNC000043)
Source: RNAcentral
CCUCCAGUAACACACCCUUGCAGUUUUGUGAACUCGCCGCACAGAAUGCCAAAUUAGUUGGAAAGAAAACUAGGAUUGAUAUUAAGUAAAAGCCAAAUAUACACAAGCUCAACAGGAAUUUGAAGAACGGACGCCAUGCACAAUCUAGUUGCAAACAGAUCCGAGCAAAAAAAGAAAGAAAAAUAAAAGGAAAAAAGAAUGAAAAAGCACAUAUGACGGGUCAGUACCAAAUCGAAGAUGCCAACUAGAGGAUGUGGCUGCUAACUUUGCUGAGCAUCCAUGAGCUCGUCAGGUUGUUGAUUGCUCUGGCGCCCCUCGCUGGUUGCUUGCUCUGGCGCCCGUCAUCGUUGACUCUCAUCCUUCUAUCCACUUGAGCCUAGGUUUCCUCGUAGCAGAAUGAUGUCUGCAGAAGAUUUGCCCAAGAUGUAUGCUGUGGCAGGAUCCGGCCUCCUUGCAUAGGUGCGCACAUGGCGUCCGACGCGUCGGGGACGAGCGUGGCGGAGGCGAUGGAGACCAGAGACGAAAAGUUCUUGCCCACAAGCUGAUAGCUCUACUAACAUCGAAGGGGACACAGCAACAGGCAAAGAUGGGGAUUACCC